Molecule: ribosomal RNA, 1260 nt
Filed under: Triticum aestivum (bread wheat)
Lineage: Eukaryota; Viridiplantae; Streptophyta; Magnoliopsida; Poales; Poaceae
Description: partial small subunit ribosomal RNA
Source: RNAcentral
AUGGAGGUUUUGGUGGUCAUUCCCGACUGGACGAUUCCGUAUGUCGCAUAUAUCUUGAGGAAAGAGCUUCCGGAGGAUGAGGAAGAGGCUCGACAGAUCGUCCGUCGAUCUAAGGCCUUUACCGUAAUCAAAGGACAAUUAUACAGAGAAAGCGCGACUGGAGUCGGUCAGAAGUGCAUAACACCAGAAGAAGGUCGAUUCAUCCUCAAUGAUAUUCACUCGGGGACUUGUGGUCAUCAUGCGUCCUCUCGGACCAUCGUGGCCAAAGCAUACCGAGCCGGAUUUUACUGGCCCAAGGCGAAUGAGAUGGCAAAAGAGAUAGUGGAUAAGUGCGAGGGAUGUCAGUUCUACUCGAAUAUGUCGCACAAGCCUGCGUCAGCUUUGAAGACCAUCCCACUCGUCUGGCCUUUUGCAGUCUGGGGGCUGGACAUGGUCGGUCCUUUGAGAACAGGACGAAGUGGCUUCACGCAUGUACUGGUGGCAGUCGACAAGUUCACCAAGUGGAUCGAGGCUAAACCAAUCAAGAGCCUUGACACCGGUACCGAUGUUAGCUUCAUCAGGGAACUAAUAUUCAGAUAUGGAGUCCCGCACAGCAUCAUUACGGAUAAUGGGUCGAACUUUGACUCAGAGGAAUUCAGAGCUUUCUGCGACUCCCAGGGCACACGGGUCGACUACGCAUCAGUCGCCCACCCGCAGUCGAAUGGACAAGCAGAGCGAGCUAAUGGACUGAUUCUUAAGGGAUUGAAGCCUCGACUGAUGCGUGAUCUCAAACACGCGGCUGGAGCUUGGGUCGACGAACUUCCCUCUGUACUCUGGGGACUGCGGACCACACCUAAUCGGUCGACCGGAAGAACUCCAUUCUUCUUGGUCUACGGAGCUGAAGCAGUCUUGCCGAGUGAUCUUCUCCAUAAUGCUCCCCGAGUUGAAAUAUACAACGAAGCAGAGGCUGAACAGGCGCGGCAGGACGCAGUCGACCUUUUAGAGGAAGAAAGGGAGAUGGCUCUGAUUCGGUCGACCAUCUACCAACAAGAUUUGCGCCGUUUCCACGCCAGAAAUGUGAGAGGUCGAGCCUUCCAGGAAGGGGAUUUGGUUCUCCGAGUGGAUCAGCACAAACCACACAAGCUUGCUCCUUCUUGGGAAGGCCCCUUCAUCAUCACCAAGGUCCUCCACAAUGGGGCGUACCGUCUUUACAACGUCGAGCAUAAUAUCGACGAGCCCCGAGCUUGGAACGCGGAGCUACUCCGCCCAUUCUACACUUAA